GAGUUUGAUCAUGGCUCAGGACGAACGCUGGCGGCGUGCCUAACACAUGCAAGUCGAACGAAGCACUUGCAGCGGAAUCUUCGGAGGAAGCUGGAUUUGACUGAGUGGCGGACGGGUGAGUAACGCGUGGGUAACCUGCCUUACACAGGGGGAUAACAGUUAGAAAUGACUGCUAAUACCGCAUAAGCGCACGGGACCGCAUGGUCUUGUGUGAAAAGUAUUUCGGUGUAAGAUGGACCCCGCGUCUGAUUAGCUAGUUGGCGGGUAACGCCACAAGGCGACGAUCAGUAGCCGGCCUGAGAGGGUGGACGGCCACAUUGGGACUGAGACACGGCCCAAACUCC
This 344-nucleotide ribosomal RNA is filed under the name uncultured bacterium. Its description in RNAcentral is "bacterial SSU rRNA". It matches the Rfam family "Bacterial small subunit ribosomal RNA", at positions 9 to 339 of the family's 1533-position model. The record is from RNAcentral.